Molecule: unclassified non-coding RNA, 210 nt
Filed under: plant metagenome
Description: partial contains small subunit ribosomal RNA, internal transcribed spacer 1, and 5.8S ribosomal RNA
Source: RNAcentral
UUUCCGUAGGUGAACCUGCGGAAGGGUCAUCAUAAUAAAGUGUUUUAUGGCACUUUUUAAAAAUCCAUAUCCACCUUGUGUGCAAUGUUAGAUCUCGUCAAUCUUGGCGAGAUUUUUAUACAUCAACUCAUUCUUUAACUAAUUUGUCUGAAAAAUAUUAUGAAUACUUAAUUCAAAAUACAACUUUCAACAACGGAUCUCUUGGCUCUC